GCACAGUUGAGAGACUAUAUACAUAUGAAAAAAUAAGUAUUCUUUUUUUUAUACAGUGUGAUAUGCAGUGUGGGUUAUUGCACAUUAUUUGAAUAUUGCCCAACAGCGGUGAUCAUAUUCAAUGAGUAGUAGACAUUGGGCUAUGAGAGGGCAUAUUAUGG
Long non-coding RNA from Etheostoma spectabile (orangethroat darter), 161 nucleotides. RefSeq lists it as uncharacterized. The record is from RefSeq and is a predicted model, not a curated record. Lineage: Eukaryota; Metazoa; Chordata; Actinopteri; Perciformes; Percidae. The transcript is spliced from 3 exons.